UUAUUUCCCACAUUUAUUUUAUUCAGACAGUAUUCAGGUAGUAACUGGGUUUGAUGGUCCUGUGGCAGGCACUCGCUAGCGAGAGCCAGCGGCCCCGGGGGGCGGCCUGCCAAGGCAACAAUAGGUACAACAAUCAGGGUGGGAGUUCCGCCCGGAGGCGAGAGCUCAGUAAUGAUCCUUCCGCAGGUUCACCUACGGAAA
This 201-nucleotide unclassified non-coding RNA is filed under the name uncultured fungus. RNAcentral's name for it is "sequence contains ITS1". The record is from RNAcentral. Lineage: Eukaryota; Fungi.